Molecule: long non-coding RNA, 735 nt
Organism: Piliocolobus tephrosceles (Ugandan red Colobus)
Lineage: Eukaryota; Metazoa; Chordata; Mammalia; Primates; Cercopithecidae
Exons: 3
Source: RefSeq, a predicted model, not a curated record
CCACCUCCCGGUCUCAAGCAAUUCUCCAGCCUCAGCCUCCCCAGUAGCUGGGAUUACAGUGCUGAAUCAUAUUCCAGUAUUGGGAUGCACCGCAGUGUAUUUAUCCAUUCACCUACUGAAGACAUCUGAGUUGCUUCCACGUUUCUGCAAUGAUGAAAAAAGCUGUUAUAAGCAUCCACGUGCGCCGGGUAAAUGCCACAGAGCAUGAGUGCUGGGUCUCAUGGGUUACUGGAACCUCUUCAAGGCUUCGUGUGCUCCAGUGGACUGUUACGGGCACUUCCUUUUUGAUGUGCAAGACAUCACUUUGGCCAGUGGGGGUUCUUUGUUUUAUUUAGCAAGAUCUCACAUAUUUUGAAAAACAUUCUCUGGCAACCACAAGAUGUGCUGGACCCGUCUUGAUUUUCCCCAUUUUCACCGUGGAGGCAACGACUUUCCAAGGAUUUUUGGCCACUGUUUGUGGAAUGGAGAAUUGGAGGUUGAAAUCCAGGGCUCUCUCUCCGAGGGCCUUGGGCUUCCCUCUGAGUCCAGGCUGCACACAGGUAACGAGGGAAGCAGGGGCUGCCCGUGCUCCGGUGACAGAAUCAGAAACCCUUUUAGAGUGUGUGAACUCACACUGAUGUUCUCACUCAACUCCAACUUUACUAAGCCAUUCUUUAUUUUGUUCUAACACUAAAAUAUGUUUUAAAAUGGUAAAUUGUAUCCCUUUUGAACACAAAGAUUUUUUUUAAAAUAAAA